RNAcentral lists this ribosomal RNA (900 nucleotides) under Sudaria sp. 2 LP-2022a. Its description in RNAcentral is "SSU rRNA". The record is from RNAcentral. Lineage: Eukaryota; Metazoa; Arthropoda; Arachnida; Opiliones; Assamiidae.
UCCAAGGAAGGCAGCAGGCGCGCAAAUUACCCACUCCCGGCACGGGGAGGUAGUGACGAAAAAUAACAAUACGGGACUCUUUUGAGGCCCCGUAAUNGGAAYGAGAACACUCUNAAUCCUUUAACGAGGAUCCAUNGGAGGGCAAGUCUGGUGCCAGCAGCCGCGGUAAUUCCAGCUCCAAUAGCGUAUAUUAAAGUUGUUGCGGUUAAAAAGCUCGUAGUUGGAUCUCAGUUCGAGGCUGGCGGUCCAUCAUUCGGUGGCUACUGCUAGUACUCAACAUCCUGCCGGUUUUCCCUUGGUGCUCUUCAUUGAGUGUCUCGGGUGCCCGGCACGUUUACUUUGAAAAAAUUAGAGUGCUCAAAGCAGGCGUUUCGCCUGAAUAAUGGUGCAUGGAAUAAUGAAAUAGGAUCUCGGUUCUAUUUUGUUGGUUUUCGGAACACGAGGUAAUGAUUAAAAGGGACAGACGGGGGCAUUCGUAUUGCGACGCUAGAGGUGAAAUUCUUGGACCGUCGCAAGACGAACUACUGCGAAAGCAUUUGCCAAGAAUGUUUUCAUUAAUCAAGAACGAAAGUUAGAGGUUCGAAGGCGAUCAGAUACCGCCCUAGUUCUAACCAUAAACGAUGCCAACCAGCAAUCCGCCUGAGUUCCUCAAAUGACUCGGCGGGCAGCUUCCGGGAAACCAAAGUGUUUGGGUUCCGGGGGAAGUAUGGUUGCAAAGCUGAAACUUAAAGGAAUUGACGGAAGGGCACCACCAGGAGUGGAGCCUGCGGCUUAAUUUGACUCAACNCGGGAARACUUACCCGGCCCGGACACCGGAAGGAUUGACAGAUUAAGAGCUCUUUCUUGAUUCGGUGGGUGGUGGUGCAUGGCCNUUCUUAGUUGGUGGAGCGAUUUGUCUGG